CGCGCGGGUCCUCCACCGGCUCGCGACCCCUGGCCGCCGCCGUACGCCGGAGCGUGCGUGGGAACGUGCGCAGGCGCGCCUCGGGGAGGGCGGCCGCCCCGUUCGGCGCCCGGCGGCGGCGGCUGCGCGGGGACAGAUUUGGCGUCCCGCUUCCUAGGCUCAGCGGCGGGAAGGAGGUCCCAUGGCGAGACACUGCGCACGCGCCGCCCGUCGGGGGCUUCCUCGCGAUCUGGACUUGUAGCUCCGCCCCUGGCUUCUGUGUGCCCGCCCGGCGCUCUGGUUCGAGUCACGAGUUUUCCGUCACCGACGGGGCGGAGAAAAGCCUUGUGAUUGUCACAGGGGUCUGCUGGGCCAAUAUUUAGAAUAUAAUGUUAUGACCUUGGAAGGAACACAUCUCUGCCACUUCAGAAAUAAGGAAACUGAAGCCUAGAGAGAUGGAGAAACUUGCACGAGCAGGAAAGUGUUUUUGGCAUGGCCCAGCCUCUCUGAGAAUCCCCCUGAAAAGAUCAAUGCAAAGACCCUUCUGUAGGCUGCUACCUUCGGCUGUUUGAAUAUCAUUGAAAAGGCCUACAGGGCAGAAACCAUGACCAGAAGUCAUAUUACAUGAAGCUGAACUGUCAUCUUACUCUUUUGAAAGACGAGGACCCAAAAGCAUCUUCUUUGGUUCACUUACAGAGGCUUGCUGCUCCUCCUAUGUUCUACUGCAGUAUUCUACUAGCUGCCAUGUUGUGAGCUGCCCUAUGAAGAGACCCACGGGGUGAAGUACAGCCCUUGAAGAACUGAAUCCUGCUGGCAACCAUGUGAUUGACUUUGGAAGCAGAUUCUUUCCCAGUCAAGCCAUGAGAUGAGACGCAGCCUCCAGCCAACACCUUAACUGCAGUCAGGCAGAGGCACCCAGCGAAACUGCACCUGGAUUCCUGAAUCACAGAAACCAGAGGGUAAUGUUGUUUCAAGCUGUUUUAGGGCAAUUUGUUAUGCGGCGAUAGAUAACUAAUACAAACUGUAAGGGGGUGAAAACUACAAGUCAGGAAGUGUAUUCUCCAUCCUCCCUGCAGUGGGGAAGAAUUGCUGUGGGGAACAGAAAUGACCUUCCCCUUCAAUUUUCUAGCUCCUUUAUCUCUUUCUAUUGAACACCGCACCCUGGGGACACUGCCUCCAGGUACAAUAGCCAGAAGGUGGUCUCACCUGUUCCUCAGCAGGCCCUGAGGGUCAAGGGGGGGGGGUAAGGCUCAGUGUUUAUUUUCCAGUGGGAAAGAAACAGGCUUAGAGGAAAGAGAGAGAGAGAGGGAAGCGGAGCCCCAAACCCCAGGAUCCUCUAUUUGGUUUGUUUGUAAAGGUGAAAUUAAGU
This is a non-coding RNA of Delphinapterus leucas (beluga whale), 1348 nucleotides long. Lineage: Eukaryota; Metazoa; Chordata; Mammalia; Artiodactyla; Monodontidae. The record is from RefSeq and is a predicted model, not a curated record.